GCAAUAACAAAAUGUUGCAGCGUUGACUGCCUGUAUCUGGUGUUCCAGCUAGUCUCCAUUCCACCUGCCCACCCCUGUUUACUGUCCCACCCUCAACCAUCGGCAUUCUGUGUCCCCUAAACAUGGUUCAGUUCUCAUUUGGCUGUUUCUGAGGUUUCACCUCUCUUACAGUUUAUUUUCUAAAAAUUGCUGCAAUUCUGCAAAACUUGGGAUAUCCCUGAGCCUGUUAAUAACCUUCUUGCCAAUGGCUGGUGCCAUUUUGGAUACACAUGGGCCCAACCUCAUAGGAGGAGUUUGCCAUUGGUGUAGAGGAUUCAGUCUGUGUGAAGUCAGAUUCAAAUGUGCAGAAAUAAUUCAUAAGUCAGUCUUUCCCAGACAGGGUCUCUUCAAACUGCAGAUAGAAAUUGCAUACUUGUGCAUUCACAGGCACAAAAACACGCAGGGAGCGUUCAAACCUGUAAACCUGCAGUCUCAAGUGGACAAUCAAGGAUUGUACUACAGACUCUUGGCAUUCUGAAAUAACUAUAAAUAAUUAUAAUUAUACAUGCCACAGGACCUCUGUUGCUAUUAGCAGCUUCCUGACUUGAAAACUGCAUGUUAAAAUUCAGUGGAAUUUAAAGCACUUUUGCCAGAGUUCCAAACUGUGCAGGGAAAAACAGCUUUGGAGGUGAUGGUAGUGGAGGAAAAGAGGCCGGUGGAAAAAGGGAUAAGCACACUUUAUCCUUAUCUGUUGCUUCUCUGUUGCUUCUCUCCCACAAAGAUGCUUCGGAAAAACUGGUCAUCAGGGUUGUGCUAUGUGCCUUUGUGUCCAUUUGGUAGCUUGUCCCUGAAUAUUGGCUUUAUGCAUUCUGUCUUGCUACCUCUUGCCCCUGCAUUUUCAGCCUCAGAACACUUCACUGUCAUUUUUGGAUACGUAAUUAGCAAUUGCACCUGAAAGCACACAGGGGAAGCUGCCUUAUACUGCAGGAGACUCUUUGUCCAUUAAGUCCAACAUUACCUACUCCAGCGGUAUCCAACAUGGUGCCUUUCAGUUUUUGUGGCCAUUAUUUCUUUAUCCCACCCUUCCUCCCAAAGCAACCCAGGCCAUCAAGCAACAAAGUAGCAAAGCAGUGCUAUGAAAAAUAAAAACUUUAAAAACAGAGCAUCUAAAAGACAUUAAAAAAUGACAACUCCUGUCAGCUCCAGUCAGCAUGGCCAAUGGUCAGGAUUGAGCACUUCCCAUAACCGGCUACUUGUUUUUGCGCAUUUUUAAACUAGUGAUUGGACUUGCACUUUCUGCAUGCAAAGCAUGUGCUUUCUACCACUGAGCUUUCCCAUCUCUUCCUGGGCUAGAUGCCAGCCUCAGGCAAUGAGAUUUCUGGUUCUGCCUGGAAAGUUGUGUCCUCAUUUUUCCAAUUCACAGUGCACUGCUUCAAAACCAAUCCAAGGACAGACCAGCGUUGUGUGAACCGAGGAUCAUAAUGAAAAGCUAUGAAGAGUCCUCCUCUCACUGGUGGCUUCCUGCUGGUUCUCUGCUACCCAAGGUAAUUGUCAUCAAAGCGUUUCAUAUUUCUAGUAAACACUUGUGUGGGAUGGUGCCUGUAUCGGAUGACUGGAUGGUUGCCAUGGAGAAUUAAGUGUGUGUUUUGUGAACAGUGCAGAAGUAAAACCCCUCAUUAAACAAAGCUCUCAGCUGCCAAGUUGGAAGAGGGCAGAGUGAUUAUGUGCAAAACAGGUUGAAUUGUAAACAUGGAUGGACAAAUCAUGGCCCAAACAUCAUUUGACAAAGGUCAAAUGAACAGUAUUUGCAUUGUUCAACCCCAUGACAUAUAUCUUAAAAUAUAGGUACUUUUGGCAGUCAUCAGGUACUACGUGUCUGAGAUGUAUCACUACAUAGUGUAGGCGUGGAGGAAUGUCACAUGACUAAAUGCUCCUUCAUGUAAAUAAAUAAAUAUCCGAAUACAUAGAAAACGUAACGUGCCAAGGAGAAAGCUAAUCUAGAACCCUUAUCCCUGAUAAUAAGUUUUAUUUGUGAAAGUUUGCUUUAAAAGUUUGGUAUUUAUUUAUAUGCAGCAUUCUUUUACUUUUCCUCGAAGUCUAAAGCAGUACAGCCAAGACACAGAUUUACCUCACUAGUAGGAAGUAGGCCUCAGUAUCAAAGAAUAUACAAAAAUAAAUAAUUGCAGUGGGACCUGCUUUUUCACAUGGCAGCUCCUUUCUUAUUCUUGGGAGAAAAUAUGUGUAUUCUUUCAUAUUUAUGAAGGUGAACUGGCCCACUCAGUAAUGAUUUUGAUUUGUUUCCACUCUUGAAGUGCUAUGUCCUCAUUCAUUGGUCCACACAUAGCCAUUUUCAAGAGGGAACAUGAGUACUGAAUAAAUUAUCUUACAUUUGUUUUGGGAUGCUGUAGAAUUAUAACCAGUUCUCUUCUGCCACUAUGUUUGAACAAGUUUUCAGUGAAUAUACAGAAAGAAGACUUUCAUAAGACUUCUCUCCUGACUCAUAAUAUUGGUGCAUGUGUACUGAUGGUGUCUCAAAAACAUGCCUUAUAAUUUUGACUCCUGGGAAUCACAUUUCUCUGCAACAGCUAUGGCAAACAGCUGCUUAGAAACCAGCCCCACUCUACUCAGAGGAAACAGGAAGGAUUUUAGAUCUGGAUGGUUGACAACAACUGCAUAAAAAUGUUUGCAAGCAGUUGCAAGAUGCAAUUAGAGAAUGAUAUGCCAUUUUAGGAUCAGAAUUAAAGCUAUCUCAUAUUGACUCAAGCUCCACACACCUGGGAUAUUGUACCUUGUGGUCAGGGAUGAUAAUGUGCAAUGCCACAAAUUGUGCUUGCUUACAACUUCCCCUCCAUAUUGCGACAGGAGUGCAAAAUGUCCUGCAAAAUUUAGAAGUCAGAAUUUCUAUAUGUCCAAUAAGACAAGAGAACUGCUUUCUGACCAGCAAUCCACCCACCAGUUGUCAGACCCAGUUUUUUAAUGCUCCAGUAACUAUAGGGCACUUGUGUCCUUAAACCACAAAAAUAAGCAGUCUUUUGUGCAUUUAUUAUCAAUGAAACUUCAUUUAAGAUAGUGUUCCAAAACUCCUCCACCACUGGACAGUUCCACCACAUAUGGCACCCUCUCUAAUACAAUUAUGAGCCUCCUUCCUCACCCUAAAAACCCAGAUUGAGUUACAGGGCCAUCGGUAUAGGAUUGUUAAUAAAUUUUCCUUCCCCACGAGCACAGAGUGCAGGUGUUUCCCAGUAACUCCCUCAUAGUAUUGUAGCAUGGAACAAUUUGAGAAUUACUGUACUAAGGCAUGACUCUUACCAAUGUAUGUAGCAAUGCAUAAUAACACAAAUGGAAAAGUGCUCCAGUUGUCAUGGGUACCACUAUUUCAAAAUCCCAAAGAUUACUGUUCAGAAAUGUUUUCAUCCUUCAAUAAAUUAUACAGAUAAUAAAUGUGCAUUAUAUAGUCAGUUCUCCGAUUCCAGAGGCACUAAGCUGCUAGGUUGUUGUGAAACCCCUGACUGGGAAAUAUGAAGCUUUGUUAAAUGAAUCAGUCUUGUGGCCUAUCUAGCCUGGGAUUGUUGCUCUAUAAUUGGCUGUGGCCCUCCAGGUCUUCCACAUCCCUUCCUGCCUCAGCUCGUUUUUUGUUUUUUUAAACCAGAGAUGUCAUGGAUUGAACUGGGGAUCUUUAAAAUGCAAAGCAUUUGCUCUGUUCAUUGAGUUACGGUCUCUGCCUAGUUAUUCUUAUCAAACAUUCUCCUUUAAAUUACACUAAGAAUGAUGGGGGGGGAGCUUUGAUUUUUGAAUGCAAAAAUACAAAUAAAACUUCCUUUGAAGAUAAUUAUUAAAUUACUCAUUUUCCCCGUGAAGUUUGAAGCAAGAUUUUAACCUUCACAAGAGUCAUGUGAGAGAAGUGAGACUGAGAGAGAGGGAAUGCCAUUUGGUGGGCUUCAUGGCCAAGUGGGGAUUGCAUCUGAGUUUCUGUCAGGAGUGGGGGUUAGGAGUAGAUCAGCAAACAAACAAAACAAAACAAAACAAAACAAAACAAAACAAAACAAAACAAACCCACAGUAUCAGUGCAGUUAGCUCUUUAUUCAAGAAGACUUAUGUUGGCUCAGGAGGCCAGGCCUAGUGAGCACAGCAAGUUGUCCCAGUAGAUCUUGCAAUUGUGAGGACUGAAGGUUCUCGCCUUCCCACAGUUGUCUCCUCCUCCCCUGCGUCCUUCCCAAGCAACCUGAGACUCUGUUACCUUGUCUGUCUCUGCUCCUUCAUACCUCUUCUGGUUCUGGGAGACCAAAGGGGAGAGGAACUGGUCACAGCAGGAGGGGAAGACACCCUGGUUUCUUUACCAGCCUGACCCAUCUCUGCCUCUUGGCCUCCCCUCCUUUCCAGCCUCUGCUUCUGCCUCUGAUUUUGGACUGCUCUCUGCCACAGACUCUUCCUGCUCACUAAACCCUGUUACCUCUUCAGCUUCUGACACCUCCCCCUCCCAGUCUGCUCUCUCUUCUCCCUCUGACCACUCACUGUCAUCCCAUCAACAAUCCCCUGGCUCUGAGCCUUCUUCCCCUGGGUUUUUUCUGGGGGGGGGGGUUCCCCAGCUGGUGCCUCUCACCACUUCUCUGCAUCCAGCCAGUCCAUUACAGUUUUCCACAUAUAAGCCCAAUACUCUAGUCCAGGGACAAGGAACCUCUUGCCCUCUGAUGUUGUUGGAUGACAACUAUCAUCCCUGACCAUUUGCCUGUACUGGUUGUGGCUGAUGGAAGCUGGAAUCCAAACGCAUUUGGAGGGCCACAGGUUCCCCAGACCAGCUAUAGUCAUUGCACUACACCAGCCUUCAGAACUAAACGGUGCACAUUGCCACAAUUCAGUGGUGAUUACAUUCAACAAUCAACUUCUUCUCUGCCUUGGUCUUUUGUUGUUGCCAUAAAUUAAAUAAACUUCACAUAACCAUUAAAACACACUUUGUUCAAGUGUCAGGUAUGCCUUUUUGUGGUAUAUUCCACUUUUGUGUAGGGUGCCAAUCUGCAGUGUUGCCAGUAAGCAAGCGAGCAAGAUUGCAAGUGAGCAAAAUUAAUGGAUUAAUUAAUUAUAGUUCUACCCUGCUUUUCACAUGAAUAUUGAGUAUCUCCCGAGUGGUUCACAUUGAUUUUUUGUUUUUAAUGGUGAACACACCCUGUCCUCGGGUUUAUAAACUAAAAAACAAGAUACCCAAGGAAAAGAAGUGAAGUCAAGAGAAAUGAGAUCAGUUUAACACUGAUAGAACCAAGUAGUGAGUUGUAAACUGGCUAUUUUAUCCAGCUGGGGCCAGGAUGAUCUUUCUUGCUGGUGAUCUUGCAUGGAUAGAGGUGCUGCAAAUGAUCCAACAGCUCUUGUUCAUUUUUGAUGUAUGAGAGCAUCUGUUAGUUGGAGCCAAAAUUCCACAAUAUGGGUGCCCACCAUCAAACACACAUUCUGGUCCUGCUGCUAGAUGGACUCACCUCAUGUCAUAUACUAUUCAGUGAUCUUAACUCAUGCAGGGCAGGUAGGUAAAAAGGUAACGGACCCCUGGAUGGUUAAAUCCAGUGCCUAUGGGGUGUGGUGCUCAUCUCGCUUCAGGCCAAGAGAGCCGGUGUUUGUCCACAGACAGCUUUCUGCGAUCAGCAUAACUAAACUGCUUCUGGCACAUCAGAACACUGUGAUGGAAGCCAGAGCACACAGAAACACAGGUCAGGGCACAUAUGGGAAAAGGUAUGUCCUAGACCAGGCCCCAUUUAGAUCUAUAAAUCAUUAAUUUAGCAUGGAAACUAACUAGCAUUCAGUGUGUUCUCAUAAGGUCAGUGUUAUAUGCUAUGUGCAAUUGGCCCCAGUCAAAAAAAACAUGCUGCUACAUUCUGGACAACCAGUUCAAUCCAGGUAGGACUGGGAACUAUUCCUGCCUGAAACCAUGGAGAGCAACUGCCAGCUAGUCUUGACAAUACUCAGCUAGAAAUGCUAAUAGUCUGACUUGGUAUAAGGCAUUUAGUCUCCCAUCUGCAAGGAAGAUCUUGCACAUGCUAGGGCAGGGAAAGAACACUUUUAUACAAAAUGUAAGAAUUAUGUGCUUCAUGCUAGAUCCAAAUAUUAUACCUGCGUAGAGAGGGAAGGGAAAGUGUCUAAAAGUAUGUGGGUAAAGUAACAUCCAAGUGACAGAACUGGGCAAUUAAGGCAGUGAAACGAAGGAUGCACAUCUUCAAACAUGAGUGCAGACUAGAGUUAAAUAGUGGAUACCUCUUCCCAGUUGUUUUUGUGUGUGAUGGUACUCACCAAUCUAGAGUACCAUCACCUCCUUUUUGUUUCCCGUGGCAGCUAUCUUGAGCCAGCACUCACAGCACUUUGAUACAUGUACAAUACCAGCACUUCAUUUUUUACUAAAAAAAAAAUAGCACUGCCUCUGCCAUUUAUUCUCCGCUAUUAUCUUCUUAUUUGUAUCCUGCUUAAAAGUACAGGUGUCUAUCUCAAACUAUGGAUGCAAAUCAAAUUAAUGUGCAUAACUCCAACAGCACUUAGUAAAACGGCAUGAAGGCAUGCUCUGAAAGCAUCAUAUGUUGAGUUAAAUAGAUGUAGGUCUGCUCGGUGACUGACUGGAUGAGGAACUGCCUGAGAACCAUCUGUGCACUGCCUCGAGUUCAAUGAUAGAAGAAAGGUGAAAUGAAUUUAAG
Molecule: non-coding RNA, 6644 nt
Organism: Podarcis lilfordi (Lilford's wall lizard)
Lineage: Eukaryota; Metazoa; Chordata; Lepidosauria; Squamata; Lacertidae
Source: the annotation of a GenBank genome assembly